Sardina pilchardus (European sardine) is the source of this 294-nucleotide long non-coding RNA. RefSeq lists it as uncharacterized. The record is from RefSeq and is a predicted model, not a curated record. The transcript has 3 exons. Lineage: Eukaryota; Metazoa; Chordata; Actinopteri; Clupeiformes; Clupeidae.
GUGCGCGUGCGUGCCUGUCAGCCUGCCUGCCUGCCUGCCCGCGUGUGUAUGUGUGUGUGAGUGCGUGGGGUGGAGAAUAUCAAAGUGACAGUGAAGCCAGUGGCACGGGUGAAGCUCCACUGUGGCUCUCCCUCUCCAAGGAGAAGAAGAGAAAGGAAAGUUCUGCAGUCUGUUGUCGAAGUCCCUCUGGCAGAUUGCUUGGCCACACAAUGCAAAAGGAUGCCAGCGCUGGAGAGAGCCAGACUGAGAGUGACACUUUGACAAUUUGCUGACCUACCCUGGAUUGCAUGCCAG